RNAcentral lists this ribosomal RNA (280 nucleotides) under uncultured Chloroflexota bacterium. RNAcentral's name for it is "uncultured Chloroflexi bacterium partial 16S ribosomal RNA". It matches the Rfam family "Bacterial small subunit ribosomal RNA", at positions 28 to 310 of the family's 1533-position model. Lineage: Bacteria; Bacillati; Chloroflexota. The record is from RNAcentral.
GAUGAACGCUGGCGGCGUGCUUAAUACAUGCAAGUCGAACGGAGAUUGUAGCAAUACGAUCUUAGUGGCGAACGGGUGAGUAACGCGUUGGUGACCUGCCCCAAAGAGAGGGAUAACAGUCCGAAAGGAUUGCUAAUACCUCAUGUUGUUACCGGGUUUAGAAGCCGGUAACUAAAGGAGUAAUUCACUUUGGGAGGGACCUGCGUCCCAUCAGCUAGUUGGUGAGGUAAUGGCCCACCAAGGCGAUGACGGGUAGGGGACCUGAGAGGGUGGCCCCCCA